Non-coding RNA from Pelodiscus sinensis (Chinese soft-shelled turtle), 494 nucleotides. NCBI's taxonomy places the organism in Eukaryota, Metazoa, Chordata, Testudines, Trionychidae. The record is from RefSeq and is a predicted model, not a curated record.
CUACCCCUGUAGAGAGGGGUAUGGUGUGGGAGGAUAGCCUCUAGACUUCUCCACCCACUUCUUUUUCCUGUGAUUGCUUUUGAGGGUUCACCCUUUUCUCUCCACUCUGUGCAUCUGAGGAAAAGUCUCGGAAUAUCAAGUCUUGGCUUCCCAAGAUUUUGCUGAAAGGCAUAAAAAGGAAUGGAAUACCAACAAUACAAUAGAUUCAUUUCACCUAGGCUCUUCAAGGAUGAAGGCUUCAUCUUCAUACAUCCGAUUGCAGGAUUGGGGCCUAACACACAAUGGCACUAAACAUCUUUUCCUAGAACUUAGAGCUAGGAAGACUGCAACUCAAGUUUCAGUCUAUUGUGAUGCCAAUAUUCCACUACUCCUGUAGUCCUCCUACCAAAAAGUCAAGACCAAAUAUUUCUAAUGUUAGUUUUUAAAAAAAGACAGAAAAAUUCCUUGAGACUGUCUUAGAUAUCAUAAUAAAGCAAUAAUGGAUACAAACGUAA